Molecule: ribosomal RNA, 539 nt
Filed under: Cyrtoneuropsis maculipennis
Lineage: Eukaryota; Metazoa; Arthropoda; Insecta; Diptera; Muscidae
Description: partial small subunit ribosomal RNA
Rfam family: Bacterial large subunit ribosomal RNA
Source: RNAcentral
GACCUGCCCACUGAAAAAUUUUAAAUGGCCGCAGUAUACUAACUGUGCAAAGGUAGCAUAAUCAUUAGUCUUUUAAUUGAAGGCUUGUAUGAAUGGUUGGACGAGAUAUUAACUGUUUCAUAAAAAUUUAUAUUAGAAUUUUAUUUUUUAGUCAAAAAGCUAAAAUAUUUUUAAAAGACGAGAAGACCCUAUAAAUCUUUAUAUUUAAAUUAUUAUAAUUUUUUGGAUUUUUUGUGUUAUGAUAAUUAAUAAUAUUUUAUUGGGGUGAUAUUAAAAUUUGAUAAACUUUUAAUUUUUAUAAGUCAUUAAUUAAUGAAUAAUUGAUCCGUUAUUAACGAUUAAAAAACUAAGUUACUUUAGGGAUAACAGCGUAAUUUUUUUGGAGAGUUCAUAUCGAUAAAAAAGAUUGCGACCUCGAUGUUGGAUUAAGAUAUAAUUUUAGGUGUAGCCGCUUAAAUUUUAAGUCUGUUCGACUUUUAAAUUCUUACAUGAUCUGAGUUCAAACCGGCGUAAGCCAGGUUGGUUUCUAUCUUUAAAAA